GCCCCGUAAUCGGAAUGAGUACACUUUAAAUCCUUUAACAAGGAUCCAUUGGAGGGCAAGUCUGGUGCCAGCAGCCGCGGUAAUUCCAGCUCCAAUAGCGUAUAUUAAAGUUGUUGCGGUUAAAAAGCUCGUAGUUGGUUCUGCGUGCCGCGCUGUCGGUUCGCCGCCUGUCGGUGUAACUGGCAUGUUCGCGGCAUGUCCUGUCGGUGGUGAACAGGGUCCUCGAUGCUGCAUUAGUCUUUUAAAGGCCGAUGUUAGCGUCGUGUGUACUUUUGUUGGCCGAUCUCUCCUACUUCGGUGCUCUUAAACGAGUGUCGAGGUAGGCCGACACGUUCACUUUGAACAAAUUAGAGUGCUUAAAGCAGGCUGAAAUAUCUGCCUGAAUAGUGGUGCAUGGAAUGAUAAAACAGGACCUCGGUUCUAUUUUGUUGGUUUUAGGAAUAUGAGGUUAUGAUCAAUGUGGACUGGCGGGGGCAUUCGUAUUGCGACGUUAGAGGUGAAAUUCUUGGAUCGUCGCAAGACGCACUAGAGCGAAAGCAUUUGCCAAGUAUGUCUUAAUUGAUCAAGAACGAAAGUUAGAGGUUCGAAGGCGAUUAGAUACCGCCCUAGUUCUAACCAUAAACGAUGCCAGCCAGCGAUCCGCCGAUGUUCCUUUAAUGACUCGGCGGGGAGCUUCUACCCGGGAAACCAAAGCUUUUGGGUUCCGGGGGAAGUAUGGUUGCAAAGCUGAAACUUA
This 736-nucleotide ribosomal RNA is filed under the name Psammolestes arthuri. Its description in RNAcentral is "SSU rRNA". It matches the Rfam family "Eukaryotic small subunit ribosomal RNA", at positions 500 to 1146 of the family's 1831-position model. Lineage: Eukaryota; Metazoa; Arthropoda; Insecta; Hemiptera; Reduviidae. The record is from RNAcentral.